This 501-nucleotide ribosomal RNA is filed under the name uncultured bacterium. RNAcentral describes it as "partial 16S ribosomal RNA". It matches the Rfam family "Bacterial small subunit ribosomal RNA", at positions 29 to 523 of the family's 1533-position model. The record is from RNAcentral.
AUUGAACGCUGGCGGCAUGCCUUACACAUGCAAGUCGAACGGCAGCACGGGUGCUUGCACCUGGUGGCGAGUGGCGAACGGGUGAGUAAUACAUCGGAACGUACCUUAUCGUGGGGGAUAACGCAGCGAAAGCUGUGCUAAUACCGCAUACGCCCUGAGGGGGAAAGCGGGGGAUCGAAAGACCUCGCGCGAUUAGAGCGGCCGAUGCCUGAUUAGCUUGUUGGUGGGGUAAAAGCCCACCAUGGCGACGAUCAGUAGCUGGUCUGAGAGGACGGUCAGCCACACUGGGACUGAGACACGGCCCAGACUCCUACGGGAGGCAGCAGUGGGGAAUUUUGGACAAUGGGGGCAACCCUGAUCCAGCAAUGCCGCGUGAGUGAAGAAGGCCUUCGGGUUGUAAAGCUCUUUUGUCAGGGAAGAAACACCGGCUCUAACACAGUCCGGGAAUGACGGUACCUGAAGAAUAAGCACCGGCUAACUACGUGCCAGCCGCCGCGGUAA